AAGUUCAGGGUGGGGAUACUGCCUCCAGUCUCAUAAAUGCGUCACACAAAUUGUACAAUCAUGAAAUGGAAAACUACACUUCUGUUUCACUAAGGUAUUCAUAUCAAACUAAAGAACCUCAAUUUAAUGCCACUCUAAAGCUUCUAGACAGACUAUUUAAAGGAAAGUGAACAAGACCAUCAGGGACAAGACCUGAAAGUGAUACAAGAGGGUGGGUGUCCAUGGAGCCGCUGAAGAAAACCCCUCUUUAGCAUUUCUUCCAUAUAAUUGUCAGAAAAAAAGACAUAUUUGACAAUUAAAAGUCAGCAGGACAAGAUACUCAAGCAUGUGGAGGACAAGGUAAACAAAGACUGCUUUGUCCACAUGGGGGGCUGGAACUGACACCAAACAAAAGUUCCUGACAGGAGCUUUAACUUACAUAUAAGAUUUCAACUUGUUCAAUUUUUGCCUUUUUAAUUCUUUAAAUGGCUUCAACUCAUUUGUAAACUUCACUUUUAAACUUAUCUAGUCUACUUUUUACGACUUGUAAAGUUCAUUUGGAAACUUCAACCUUAACUUUUAUUCAAGUCAGUUAAUAAGUUUGUUAAUUUAUUUAUUCAAGUGUCAUGAACACAAAGUGCCCAACCCACAUGGGUUUAUAAGACACUAAAAAUAUCAACAGACAGUGUUGCGUAGUGUGUAAACCGCAAAAAAAAGAGGAAAAGGACAAACAUGCAAGUACACAUACAACUAUAUCUAAACCCAUAAGCUACUUAAAUUCAAAUCAAAUGUACAACACACUUUUUCUACUGUCCCAGGUCUUAUAAAUAAAGUUAGCUGUAUAAAAAAACUCCUAUUUCAAAAAACAAUUCAAGUCAAAAAACCUCUAAGUCAGUGGUUCUUAAGUCCAGUCCUCGAGGCCCACUGUCCUGCAUGUUUUGGAUGUUUCCCUGCUCCAACACACCUGAUUCAAAUGAUUAGCUCGUUAUCAAGCUCUGUAAUGGCUUAAUAACGAGCUGAUCAUUUGAAUCAGGUGUGUUGAAACAUCCAAAACAUGCAGGACAGUGGGCCUUGAGGACUGGACUUGAGAACCGCUGCUCUAAGGGAUUACUUUUUACUUGAAAACUUGGAUUUUAGGCUAAUUUACUACACUGAAGUACUCCAACUUUACAUGAAAACAUCAGUUUGAAGUUUAAGCCACUUAAGUAUUUCAACUGAACUCCCAUUUUACACAGCUCAAACAUAUUUCCUCUAUACAUGAACAUUCAUUUAACACUUUUUACAUCUGUCCUGAAAGCUGCUGAGAGAAACUUUUGGUCUGAGUCCAUUUGGCGUCCCCUUGGACAAAGUCGCACCUCUUAACUCUGACUCUGUAAAUGUGAAAGUAGCGUUUUCAGACAAAAACCACAUCCUUUUUGUCGCUGAACAACAAAAUGUUUCCCUCAGUGUGAGUAAUUGUCCUGAAAAAAGAAAAAAUACUAAUUCUGGUUUGACACCUACACCCUUAGAGAAGUUUCACAUGUUUGAAAACAAAAUCACUAUUUUAGUGUUUCUCAACCAGAUGAAAAUUUCCUAUAGUGCCUUUAAAGGUCCUGAGAGGAGUUAUUAUGAAUCAGACUGAAAUGACUACUGAUAUCUAUUUAUGAUCUACAGAAAACCAAAUUACACAAUGACUUCUAUAUUGUCAUUUUUGACUCAUUAAACUGCUGCCAGUGGGUGGGUUUCAGAUAAAGAGCUCCAUGGCACACUUCAUUGUUCCUUUUUUCAACUUUUUACUCAGUAAUAAGGUCAAUGAGUAAUCAGUUUGAGUGAAAUGAGAGACUAAGUUUUUAGCAAAAAGAACAGUACUUAAAAAAAAUCAUAAAAUUAUUAAAGAGAUGAGAGGUACUACUUUGUCCAAAUGGGGCGCCAAAAUCCAAGUUUCUAAGAGGAGCUUUAAAAUAUGUAAAACUUGAACUUCAUGAAUGAAAAGUUCUUUUACUUUACAUUAUUAGGCACGUCAAUUUUAGACUUUUUUAAAAUCUAGUUUAGAGCACUAUAUAUCUUCUUUACCUGAAAACUUAAAUAAUAUGUUAUUUUCAGUAAAUCUUAGAGGCAAAUCUUACAUCCAUACUUACAAAAAAAAGCUAGUUGUGAAAAAUGUUGAUAAAACAGGAUAAUGCAAACUUUUAAAUUAGCAUAUUUAAUUGAAAAUAGUGUAAAGACAACUCAUAAAACUGAAAAAUUUUACAGUUUAAUGAUGACAAAUUUGACUCAUUUAAGACCGUUGGGAUGGGAAAACCCUGAAAAAGUUGUAUCAUGGUUUAAAAACGGACCUGGAACAUCCCUACACAACUCAUGACUGGGUAUAAAAAGGACAGUCCAGAGAGGCUGAGUGUCUAAGUCUCAGGUUUUAGUAUUUCUAAAAUUGUAAAGAAUUUUAUGAUUCGAUCAUCUACAGCACAUAACAUCAUGUAAAGGAUCAGAGAACCUGGGGAAAAGGCACAAAACCAGUACUGGGAGGCUGUUAACCUCAGACCCUGAGGUGUCAUAUCUGACUCUGUAGUGGAUAUCACCACAUGAACUCUUUAAAAUCACUUCCAUUAAUGUAGAAUGGUACAGGCAGGUUUUGGAGCAACAUGUGCUGCUAUCUAAACAAUAUCUAUAAUAUAUAUUUUAAAAUCUGCAAUGAUCUGAAAUUAGGGUGACCAUAUUCUGAACCCCCAAAAAGAGGAUACGACCAUGUGGGGACGGAGUCACGGAGUCACACAUUUUUAGGGUCAGAUCAAGUGUUUUUUACACGCUUCUAACUAAGUCCACGCGACACAAACUCGAAACUUCCAUACAACACCCCAUACAUUCGAAGGAUUUUAUAAACUUUCCCGGACAAAGCCGGACAAGGCUGGACAACCCCCAAAAAAGAGGACAUGUCCGGGUAAAAGAAGAUGUAUGGUCACCAUAUCUGAUAAAAGGCUUUCAGGAAAAAAGAAAUAUAUUUAUGACACCCCACAAUCUGUGUACUUUUACAUGAGAUCAUGUCCUUAGAGGACUUUGGUGAAGUUUGGCUGCUUUCUUUGAAAAAAAGUAACUGAAUGAGAGAAAGCCUUGACUGCAGAGCCCAUGCAUUAACAGAAAGGUCAUUGUUGGAGACUUCUUUAAUGCAACAAUGCAGAGUGACCCAAUUAAGGAGCAAGAAAGACAAUCCCAAGCGUAGUAGUGGCUCCGCUGAUGAGCCUGUGUUUGUGUGCUGAAGCGGGGACAGAGCGAGUGAAAAGGACGCCAGCCAGGGGUGGGAAGUCCGGUCUUCUGCCUCUUUUCUCCCUCAUCUUCUCUUUUUUUUUUUUGAUGGCGGGUGGAGUGGUUGUAGCCGAGCAGUGCUUCACCCCAGAGACCUCCCUCCCCUUCCUCGCUGCACUGAGAAACAAAAGGGGCUUUUUCUCUGAGGAGCACAGUGACGUGGGAGGCGGCUGUGAAUGUGGGCCAUGUGUCAGAGCUGCUGCUGCUGCUGCUGUGUUUGUCUGCCCCCCCUCCCCUCUGAUGCCUGUGCAAACUUUCAGAGCUAUGCUGUCAUUAACUUUUUGAUUCGCUGAGCCUGCGAGAUUGCAUAAAACUUUUGUGUGUGUGUGAAAAAAACAUCCAACAAUUGACGUUUUGUAAAAGCCUGGGAAGCCACUCGUCUAAGUGAAGACUAAAUUGAGGAUUUAACAUACUUUUUGUGCAAAAACAGAUGUUGAGAUGUAUAGAAAGAGGGUAUGACCAAGAGGAGGCAGAACUUAAUAAAGUCCACAAACAAAUCCUGUCUCUAUUCGCAGCAGAGGGCUGUCCACUAUGAGUUUGGUCUUGCUUCAGGUCUCUGCCUGUUCAAAGAGAGCUGGCAUUUAUUCACAGUGGACUAAUGUUUGGUCUUUGUACACGAUACAAACAUGAUAAUGGUCUAGAUUAGCACUUUUUUAAGAGUCAUGAGUGAAAUCCUUUGUAGCAUUCACCAAGUUACAGUGGAGUGGAAAAACUUCCUUUAACGGGCAGAAACCUUGGGCAGAACCGAUUCAUGUUAGACAGUCAUCUGCUGAGACUGCAUCGAGUUUAGAGAGGGGAUAGAGGGAGGUAAAGACAGAGGUUUGAUUUUCUCUGUAACUUGGUCACUUUUUUAAAGGAUAUUCCGGCACAAAAUUAAUAACACCAAGUUAGAGACCCACUUGAGAGAUGAAUGUUGCCGACCACUUGCUUCUCUAGUUAUAUCAACUUUAAUAACGACCGCAGGAUAGCAAUACACAGCGGUCUGAGGAGCCAUAAACAAACCUCAACCAAAAAGCACCUAACUUCAUCAACAGUACAUAUAGGGUCCUAACCACAGCACUAGCCACCAAACAUAUUUUAAGCUUUGCCUAAUUUCUUUAGCAAACAGACUAAACACAACUCACCUACUCUCUUUCAGCAGCUGCUUGUUUGUACGGAGACCUCAGACAAGUCCAUUACGGACAACAGCAGGGUGACGCAGCUCAAGGAAGAACAUUUAUGACCAUUACAUUGUCAGGUAAUAAUCGCCAUAUUAAUCAUUUUGCACUGCAGACGCGGUAGUUUUCCAGUCUUAGCGUCUUGGUCUGACUCCAUGAAGAGUUGAUCGUAAAUGUUCUUCCUUGAGCUGCAUCACCCCGCAGCAGUCCUUAAUGGACUGGCCUGAAGUCUCGCUACAAACAAGCGGCUGCUGGAAGAGAGUAGGUGAGUUGUGUUUAGUGUCUUUUCUAAAGAAAUCAUUCAAAGUUAAAAGGAUGUUUGGUGGCUAGUACUAUGGCUAGGACCCUAUAUGUACUGUUGAUGAAGUUAGGUGCUGUUCUGAGCAUUAUUUGUGGCUAUAGAGUGGCUUUUUGGUUGAGGUUUGUUUACGGCUCCUCAGACCGCUGUGUAUUGCUAUCGUGCAACCAUUACUUAAGUUGGUAUAACUAGAGAAGAAAGUGGUCGGCAACAUUCAUCUCGGUGUUACAGUGUGUUUGACCCUAAAUUAAUUUUACGCCGGAAUAUCCCUUUAAGUACACACUGUGGCUUUUGAUAUAAUUUUUGAGUUACAGUCAAAUUGAGUUGAAUUGAGGUCACAUACAGUCAUCACAUUUAAGAGCUCGCAGCCUUUAGCAGGUAUUUCAGUCUAGAGUGACCCAGUUCAUUGGCCACUUUCAGAUGAAAGUGUCUCUUUUAGCUGGCUUUGGGUGUUUAUUUGACAUUACUGAUCAGUAGUCUUUAGUUUAAGAUUCUAAUAAUAAAAAUCUAAACUAGGUUGCAUUUGUGAGGAUCUUUCAGUGCUUCAACAGCUGGGAAACAUUUAAAAAGAAGGUUUCAAAUCGCCUGAUAA
Xyrichtys novacula (pearly razorfish) is the source of this 5302-nucleotide non-coding RNA. NCBI's taxonomy places the organism in Eukaryota, Metazoa, Chordata, Actinopteri, Labriformes, Labridae. The record is from the annotation of a GenBank genome assembly.